GGGAGCNUUAAUGGCAGUCGAGGGGCAUCGGGAGGGAAGCUUGCUUUCCUUGCCGGCGACCGGCGCACGGGUGAGUAACACGUAUGCAACCUGCCCUCUUCAGGGGGACAACCUUCCGAAAGGGAGGCUAAUCCCGCGUAUAUCGGUUUCGGGCAUCCGAGAUCGAGGAAAGAUUCAUCGGAAGAGGAUGGGCAUGCGGCGCAUUAGCUUGACGGCGGGGUAACGGCCCACCGUGGCGACGAUGCGUAGGGGUUCUGAGAGGAAGGUCCCCCACACUGGUACUGAGACACGGACCAGACUCCUACGGGAGGCAGCAGUGAGGAAUAUUGGUCAAUGGGAGAGAUCCUGAACCAGCCAAACCGCGUGAGGGAAGACGGCCCUAUGGGUUGUAAACCUCUUUUGUCGGAGAACAAAACCCGGGACGUGUCCCGGACUACGUGUAUCCGAAGAAAAAGCAUCGGCUAACUCCGUGCCAGCAGCCGCGGUAAUACGGAGGAUGCGAGCGUUAUCCGGAUUUAUUGGGUUUAAAGGGUGCGUAGGCGGUCCGUUAAGUCAGCGGUAAAAUUGCGGGGCUCAACCCCGUCGAGCCGUUGAAACUGGCAGACUUGAGUUGGCGAGAAGUACGCGGAAUGCGCGGUGUAGCGGUGAAAUGCAUAGAUAUCGCGCAGAACUCCGAUUGCGAAGGCAGCGUACCGGCGCCAGACUGACGCUGAGGCACGAAAGCGUGGGGAUCGAACAGGAUUAGAUACC
This 750-nucleotide ribosomal RNA is filed under the name uncultured bacterium. RNAcentral's name for it is "bacterial SSU rRNA". It matches the Rfam family "Bacterial small subunit ribosomal RNA", at positions 42 to 786 of the family's 1533-position model. The record is from RNAcentral.